GAAUCAGGAUAGGGUAUGUUGUACUGCUCCAUGUAAGGAUGAUGCUGCACAUUCUCCACAUAAGAUGUCGUUGGAUUAUAAGAAUCCUCAGGCGGCUCAUCAGGUGGAGGCGGAGGAACCUGUUCAUUAUCAGGAGGAGGUGGGGGAAUCCAUUCUUCAUCUGGAGGAGGUGGGACAACAGGCACAUCCUCUGAAGUCAGGGAUGGGUGAUCUGCAGGUGGAUUUGGCUGAACUGGUUGCUCCAACGUAGCAAAAUCUUUGGCACUAGAUGUUUCUCCAAUACGUGUGUUGCCUUCAGGAACACUAUCU
This 309-nucleotide long non-coding RNA is filed under the name Citrus x clementina. RNAcentral describes it as "Citrus clementina (C. clementina) long non-coding RNA (CCLE_LNC006814)". Lineage: Eukaryota; Viridiplantae; Streptophyta; Magnoliopsida; Sapindales; Rutaceae. The record is from RNAcentral.